RNAcentral lists this ribosomal RNA (403 nucleotides) under uncultured bacterium. RNAcentral describes it as "partial 16S ribosomal RNA". It matches the Rfam family "Bacterial small subunit ribosomal RNA", at positions 28 to 526 of the family's 1533-position model. The record is from RNAcentral.
GACGAACGCUGGCGGCGUGCCUAAUACAUGCAAGUCGAACGCAGUGGGGACGGGUGAGUAACACGUGGGUAACCUCCCAUCAGAGGGGAUAACACUUGGAAACUGGUGCUAAACCGAUAUUGAUGUAUGGACCUGGGGUGGAUUAGCUGGAUGGUGUGGUAACGGCUCACCAAGGCCAAGAUGCAUAGCGGACCUGAGAGGGUGAGCGGCCACACUGGGACUGAGACACGGCCCAGACUCCUACGGGAGGCAGCAGUGGGGAAUCUUCGGCAAUGGACGAAAGUCUGACCGAGCAACGCCGCGUGAGUGAAGAAGGUUUUCGGGUCGUAAUGCUCUGUUGUUAGGGAAGCGGUAUCUAACCAGAAAGCCACGGCUAACUACGUGCCAGCAGCCGCGGUAAUUC